Molecule: long non-coding RNA, 696 nt
Organism: Carica papaya (papaya)
Lineage: Eukaryota; Viridiplantae; Streptophyta; Magnoliopsida; Brassicales; Caricaceae
Source: RefSeq, a predicted model, not a curated record
CCUCAUUUGAAAAAGAAGAGCCGAAAUUGAGAGAGGGAGAGAAUCGAGUUCAAGUGGAAAGAGAGGAAAGAGCAUCGAAAGCCGAAAAGAGAGGGAAGAGGAUAACGAUUGAGAAAUGACUGUAUUGUAGAGGUUGCAGGUCAAUGGAGAAGCGAAGGAGAGUGUGAGAGAGGGGAGAGUGUGAGAGAGGGGAGAGCGAGAGAGAGAAGGGAGAGUGGUGAGAGAAGGAGGAAUGCCAGUGCAGAUGAUUCCUUUUUUUGGAUUUUUUUGCUGUAGGGUUAACAGGGAUGAGCUUAUGACGUCGCACUAGCUGUGCAAUCUCGGCCUUGUCGCUCGCCUACUCAGAAGUCGAGGAGUUUUUCCUUCGGUGUUGGAACCCGAUACUCCCGGGUUGAAACCAAGGAUUGCAAGGGAGCAUACCACUCACCCUUACGCGGUGAGCCGAGCAUUCCUUGAAAUGAGGAGGUUCAAGCAGAUUCAUGAAGGUUAUUGCUCAAGGAGUUUGUAAAUAUCCCGUAUUUUGAACCUAAGUUUGGGAUUUUGAAUUCUAUGCAUAUAGAUUAUUUAUUUUAUGGGUGUUUGAGCAUAGAAUACGUACUUGAUUGAUACACUGAGAAGAACAUAAACUUGGACACCCUCCAAGCAAUGUGAACCUGCUGGGAUAGAGUUCAAAACAUUUGAUCUACGAUGGUUGCA